AGCAGCCGCGGUAAUUCCAGCUCCAAUAGCGUAUAUUAAAGUUGUUGCAGUUAAAAAGCUCGUAGUUGAAUUUCGGGGUUCUACCGUUGGUCGGGCAAUAGUCUGUACUGGCGUGUAGAAUUUCUACCUUCUGGGGAACCAUCAUGUUAUUUAUUUAGCGUGGUGGGAAACCAGAACCUUUACCUUGAAAAAAUUAGAGUGUUCAAAGCAGGCUUACGUCUGAAUACAUUAGCAUGGAAUAAUAAAAUAGGACGGUGGUCCUGUUUUGUUGGUUUCUGAAUCACCGUAA
This 289-nucleotide ribosomal RNA is filed under the name uncultured Diversisporaceae. RNAcentral's name for it is "partial small subunit ribosomal RNA". It matches the Rfam family "Eukaryotic small subunit ribosomal RNA", at positions 569 to 864 of the family's 1831-position model. The record is from RNAcentral. Lineage: Eukaryota; Fungi; Glomeromycota; Glomeromycetes; Diversisporales.